This 606-nucleotide long non-coding RNA is filed under the name Callithrix jacchus (white-tufted-ear marmoset). RNAcentral describes it as "lncRNA (ENSCJAG00000056758.2)". Lineage: Eukaryota; Metazoa; Chordata; Mammalia; Primates; Cebidae. The record is from RNAcentral.
GAGAAAGCUUACUCAAGAAUGUGUUUGAACUGAGAUUUCAAAGAUAACCAGAUCUCGUCUGGGUGAAUGAGUCAGUAGAAGAUAUUCAAGGUACAAGAAUGCCUCACUGGAAGUUCAGAUGUGAGAAUGAGUAUGACACUUUUGAAGAUCUGGAAAAAGACCUGUGUGGCCAGAGAAGAGAGUGAAGGGAAUGCCUUAUUUUGUUUCUUUAGCUGCCUUGAACAAGGUAGUGAUGCUGAGAGAGGCUAUAAAAAAUGUGGCUCUCCAAUCUUGGGAAGCUUAUAUAACUUAGCUCCUAGGAAGCCAAGGACAUAUUCAGCAGGAAGAAACUUGCUGGCUCGGUUAUGGUGAUUCAUGCCAACAAAUCAAAGUUUAUAGUCUAUAGAUGCAAGUCUGUUUUUUUCUCCAUGACCUGAGAAGAAUACUACCAAUGAAUCACAAAAAGUAGAGAAUGCUAAACAGCAAUAAUUCUGUUACUCUAUUGUGGCUAUUAAUGAAGAUGAUGCAUUGCCAAGACAGCUGCCUGGUUAAGACAGAAAGCAAAUUGUUGUGUCUGCUUAUCAGAAGUUUAUUUGCCACUUUGAAUAUGUGGAGCAUGAAUGUUAA